UUUUGAGCUUAUCCUUAAACCUAGCCUACCCACCAGCUAAGCCACGACCAGGACCCCUCCCUCUCUCUCUUGUUCUCAUCUCUUUCUCCCUCUUUCUCUCUCUAAGCUAGGGAUUGAAGCUUAGUGAUUUUGGUGGGCAGAUUUUGGUGUUCAUGGAACUUUGAGCUGAGAAGUGAAGAUUGGAGCUGAGAAAUCCCUUUGGGAAGUUUCAAAUCCGGGAAAGUUGGACGUGCUCGGAAGUUCAAAUUGAUAUUCCGACGGACCUACGACGUGCUAAUUAAGAAACGCUUCGUUCUAGCUUCAUUGGCAUCGAGUCGCAAGGACUAGGUGCUUAUAGACUUCGAGACGUUGGUUCUAACAUUUCGGCAUCCCUACAGAUCCUAGUGCGAGCGGAGCGGUCGAGGAUCACGGCAAGAGCCCGGCAUCUUAGCUAGUGGACUCCAGAGUAUAGUUAUACAUCUAUUUUGGUUUCAUGUUGUAUAUAUUUAAUGUUAAAGAAACAUGUAAAAGAAUGUAUAAAUGAGCAUGUAAAUAACUAAAUGUGAUAGUUAUUCAGCUUUACAGUUUGGUGUAAAGUUUUCAAAAAUACAAUGAAUGCAUGUUUAAUUAGCUAGCUUA
Ananas comosus (pineapple) is the source of this 618-nucleotide long non-coding RNA. RefSeq lists it as uncharacterized. The record is from RefSeq and is a predicted model, not a curated record. The transcript is spliced from 3 exons. Lineage: Eukaryota; Viridiplantae; Streptophyta; Magnoliopsida; Poales; Bromeliaceae.